RNAcentral lists this ribosomal RNA (257 nucleotides) under uncultured bacterium. RNAcentral's name for it is "partial 16S ribosomal RNA". It matches the Rfam family "Bacterial small subunit ribosomal RNA", at positions 390 to 640 of the family's 1533-position model. The record is from RNAcentral.
AGCAUGCCGCGUGUGUGAAGAAGGCCUUCGGGUUGUAAAGCACUUUUGUCCGGAAAGAAAUCGCGCUGGUUAAUACCUGGCGUGGAUGACGGUACCGGAAGAAUAAGCACCGGCUAACUACGUGCCAGCAGCCGCGGUAAUACGUAGGGUGCGAGCGUUAAUCGGAAUUACUGGGCGUAAAGCGUGCGCAGGCGGUUUUGUAAGACAGGCGUGAAAUCCCCGGGCUUAACCUGGGAAUUGCGCUUGUGACUGCAAGG